This 74-nucleotide transfer RNA is filed under the name Chitinispirillales bacterium. Its description in RNAcentral is "tRNA-Pro". It matches the Rfam family "tRNA". From Rfam's summary of the family: Transfer RNA (tRNA) molecules are approximately 80 nucleotides in length. Their secondary structure includes four short double-helical elements and three loops (D, anti-codon, and T loops). Further hydrogen bonds mediate the characteristic L-shaped molecular structure. tRNAs have two regions of fundamental functional importance: the anti-codon, which is responsible for specific mRNA codon recognition, and the 3' end, to which the tRNAs corresponding amino acid is attached (by aminoacyl-tRNA synthetases). tRNAs cope with the degeneracy of the genetic code in two manners: having more than one tRNA (with a specific anti-codon) for a particular amino acid; and 'wobble' base-pairing, i.e. permitting non-standard base-pairing at the 3rd anti-codon position. Lineage: Bacteria; Pseudomonadati; Fibrobacterota; Chitinispirillia; Chitinispirillales. The record is from RNAcentral.
CGGAGUGUAGCCCAGUCCGGUAGGGCACCUGAAUGGGGUUCAGGUGGUCGGGGGUUCAAAUCCCUCCACUCCGA